RNAcentral lists this ribosomal RNA (16 nucleotides) under Rhizopus sexualis. RNAcentral describes it as "partial 28S rRNA". Lineage: Eukaryota; Fungi; Mucoromycota; Mucoromycetes; Mucorales; Rhizopodaceae. The record is from RNAcentral.
UUACCCGCUGAACUAA